This 274-nucleotide ribosomal RNA is filed under the name uncultured bacterium. Its description in RNAcentral is "partial 16S ribosomal RNA". It matches the Rfam family "Bacterial small subunit ribosomal RNA", at positions 523 to 796 of the family's 1533-position model. The record is from RNAcentral.
AUACGGAGGCUGCAAGCGUUACUCGGAAUCACUGGGCGUAAAGGAUGCGUAGGCUGGAUGUCAAGUUGGAAGUGAAAUCCUAUGGCUUAACCAUAGAACUGCUUCCAAAACUGGCAACCUAGAGUGAGGGAGAGGCAGAUGGAAUUAGUGGUGUAGGGGUAAAAUCCGUAGAUAUCACUAGGAAUACCGAUUGCGAAGGCGAUCUGCUAGAACUCUACUGACGCUAAGGCAUGAAAGCGUGGGGAGCAAACAGGAUUAGAAACCCUAGUAGUCC